CCUACGGGAGGCAGCAGUGAGGAAUAUUGGUCAAUGGGCGAGAGCCUGAACCAGCCAAGUCGCGUGCGGGAAGACGGUCCUAUGGAUUGUAAACCUCUUUUGUCGGGGAGCAACAAGCGGUACGUGUACCGCAUCGAGAGUACCCGGAGAAAAAGCAUCGGCUAACUCCGUGCCAGCAGCCGCGGUAAUACGGAGGAUGCGAGCGUUAUCCGGAUUUAUUGGGUUUAAAGGGUGCGCAGGCGGCGGGUUAAGUCUGCGGUAAAAUUUCGGGGCUCAACCCCGACGAGCCGUGGAAACUGGCGUGCUAGAGUGGGCGAGAAGUAGGCGGAAUGCGUGGUGUAGCGGUGAAAUGCAUAGAUAUGACGCAGAACUCCGAUUGCGAAGGCAGCAUACUGGAGCUCAACUGACGCUCAUGCACGAAAGUGUGGGUAUCGAACAGGAUUAGAUACCCUAGUAGUC
RNAcentral lists this ribosomal RNA (459 nucleotides) under uncultured bacterium. Its description in RNAcentral is "partial 16S ribosomal RNA". It matches the Rfam family "Bacterial small subunit ribosomal RNA", at positions 338 to 795 of the family's 1533-position model. The record is from RNAcentral.